RNAcentral lists this ribosomal RNA (490 nucleotides) under uncultured bacterium. RNAcentral's name for it is "partial 16S ribosomal RNA". It matches the Rfam family "Bacterial small subunit ribosomal RNA", at positions 30 to 507 of the family's 1533-position model. The record is from RNAcentral.
AUUGAACGCUGGCGGCAGGCCUAACACAUGCAAGUCGAACGGUAACAGGAAGAAGCUUGCUUCUUUGCUGACGAGUGGCGGACGGGUGAGUAAUGUCUGGGAAACUGCCUGAUGGAGGGGGAUAACUACUGGAAACGGUAGCUAAUACCGCAUAACGUCGCAAGACCAAAAAGGGGGACCUUCGGGCCUCUUGCCAUCGGAUGUGCCCAGAUGGGAUUAGCUAGUAGGUGGGGUAACGGCUCACCUAGGCAACGAUCCCUAGCUGGUCUGAGAGGAUGACCAGCCACACUGGAACUGAGACACGGUCCAGACUCCUACGGGAGGCAGCAGUGGGGAAUAUUGCACAAUGGGCGCAAGCCUGAUGCAGCCAUGCCGCGUGUAUGAAGAAGGCCUUCGGGUUGUAAAGUACUUUCAGCGGGGAGGAAGGGAGUAAAGUUAAUACCUUUGCUCAUUGACGUUACCCGCAGAAGAAGCACCGGCUAACUCCGUG